This 1088-nucleotide long non-coding RNA is filed under the name Homo sapiens (human). RNAcentral describes it as "HSALNT0028245". The record is from RNAcentral. Lineage: Eukaryota; Metazoa; Chordata; Mammalia; Primates; Hominidae.
UCCUAGGAAAGACCACUCCACUGUAUUUCUCCUAUAUCUUCAAAUUCCAGAAAGUGUUCUUUCUCCUACACUAUAGUCUCUGGAACCCUGCAGACUUGUGAUGAUGGUGUUGCUUGUGUUGAUGUGACCCCCACGGCCCCAUGGUUGUUGUAGGAGGAAAAAGAUAGCAUUUCUGCUGAGGCUUCAUGAAGUGGGAGGGAAGGAUAAAAUGAGAAUGUCUACAUGCUACGAUUUCCUGGGUUGUCUGUUGUGAAGAACACAGUGUAUUCCAGGUCCCAGUCCCCUCUGUGGUCAGCCAUCAGACGCAAGCUGAAGGUGACAUGUUCUGUCACACUAAAAAUGUACGUGCGCUAUUCCCAUUUGCUGUACUUUCUUUUGACAUGACUGAAAUAGGAGGCUGGGAAACUUGCCUUAUCUAAAAUUGAGUCCCAGAUCUUGGCAUUGUCUAAAGCAAUCCAGGAAUUCAAGUUACACUAAUGUAAUUUUACCUCUUGUGCCAAAAACAACUUUUGAUUGGGUCUUCUACACUUACUUUAUAGGCCGUACAUUCUCCCCCAAAUGUGACCACUGACGAACUAGCUUCAACUAAUUUCUGAGAAUUUUCAGGCCAAGGGAAUAGCCCCAAACACUCUGAGUUUAACUGACUUUUUUUUGAAGGGCUACGCCUCCCUUGGCUCUGUGUGUCAGCAGAAUUAACCAAUCUAUAUCAUUUUUUAUAGAUUGUGAACAGGAAGGACCUCAAGUCUGACCCCUGUCGGGCCCCAGUAAAUCUCACAGCACCAAGUUAAAGACACUCCUCUGGGCUUUGUUUUUCUACCAGUCUAUCAUCUCCUCCCAUGCACUCUGGAUUUUAGCAAAACUUUUCAUCUGAGAUUCACAGUGGGAUUUUUUUUAACAUGUGCUGAUGAUCCAAAUAGGUUAUUGCAUAGGAUCCAAUUUGUCACGUGACCUCCAGGAACAUCCCACUGUUCUGCAUUAAAACAGAAUUCUGUCCUCUCAUAAAAGAGUAUAUUUCCUUCUUGCAUGUGCCUAGUAGCAUUUUCCUUUUUAAACACCAAUCUCAUGGGAUUUUUCCUUCUAGACUCCUC